RNAcentral lists this ribosomal RNA (433 nucleotides) under uncultured bacterium. RNAcentral describes it as "partial 16S ribosomal RNA". It matches the Rfam family "Bacterial small subunit ribosomal RNA", at positions 29 to 507 of the family's 1533-position model. The record is from RNAcentral.
AACGAACGCUGGCGGCAUGCCUAACACAUGCAAGUCGAACGAAACCUUCGGGUCUAGUGGCGCACGGGUGCGUAACGCGUGGGAACCUGCCCUUAGGUUCGGAAUAACUCCCCGAAAGGGGUGCCAAUACCGGAUAAUGUCUUCGGACCAAAGAUUUAUCGCCCUUGGAUGGGCCCGCGUUGGAUUAGCUAGUUGGUAGGGUAAAAGCAUACCAAGGCGACGAUUCAUAGCUGGUUUGAGAGGAUGAUCAGCCACACUGGGACUGAGACACGGCCCAGACUCCUACGGGAGGCAGCAGUGGGGGAUAUUGGACAAUGGGCGAAAGCCUGAUCCAGCAAUGACGCGUGAGUGAUGAAGGCCUUAGGGUUGUAAAGCUCUUUUAACCGGGAUGAUAAUGACAGUACCGGGAGAAUAAGCUCCGGCUAACUCCGUG